RNAcentral lists this ribosomal RNA (292 nucleotides) under uncultured bacterium. RNAcentral describes it as "partial 16S ribosomal RNA". It matches the Rfam family "Bacterial small subunit ribosomal RNA", at positions 505 to 796 of the family's 1533-position model. The record is from RNAcentral.
GUGCCAGCCGCCGCGGUAAUACGGAGGGUGCAAGCGUUGUUCGGAAUUAUUGGGCGUAAAGGGCGUGUAGGUGGCACUCCAAGUCUGGUGUGAAAGCCCACGGCUCAACCGUGGAACUGCAUUGGAAACUGGGGAGCUCGAGUGUUGGAGGGGGUCGCGGAAUUCCCGGUGUAGAGGUGAAAUUCGUAGAGAUCGGGAGGAACACCAGUGGCGAAGGCGGCGACCUGGCCAAUCACUGACACUGAGACGCGAAAGCGUGGGGAGCAAACAGGAUUAGAUACCCUAGUAGUCC